UUAUUAGGUAUGGUCUUUAAACCCAAAGGAUUUGGCGGUAUUUUAGUCUUUUCAGAGGAACCUGUCCCGUAAUCGACAACCCACGAUUUUAUGUACUUUAAUUUGUAUGCAGUUUUUAUACCUCCGUCAUAAGAAUAUCCUUUUAGGGUUAAUUUUCUUAAUUAUUUAAGAUUAAUAUGUCAGGUCAAGGUGAAGCUUAUAUUCAAGUGGAGAUGGGUUACAAUAAAGUUAUUUAUGCGGAUUUUUAUACUUAUAUUUAUGAUGAAGUUGGAUUUGAUUGUAAAUUUAUUUCUUAGGUUUAUUGAUUUUGGCUCUAAAAUAUGCACACAUCGCCCG
Molecule: ribosomal RNA, 336 nt
Filed under: Platycnemis pennipes
Lineage: Eukaryota; Metazoa; Arthropoda; Insecta; Odonata; Platycnemididae
Description: partial 12S ribosomal RNA
Source: RNAcentral